Molecule: long non-coding RNA, 721 nt
Filed under: Homo sapiens (human)
Lineage: Eukaryota; Metazoa; Chordata; Mammalia; Primates; Hominidae
Description: non-protein coding ENTPD3-AS1:25
Source: RNAcentral
AGUUACAAAUAUGGCGUUUUGGACGGGCUCGAUAGUUUGCUUGGCCUCUACUCAAGGAAUGCUGAUGGUAUAGCAAGAAGGUAUUCUGAGCAUUAUAUCAAUGGGGAAGUUCUAGAUCUUUUGCAAAGCAGGAGAGUCAUCCUAGGGCAUCCAGAGGCCUUCAGGGUGGCCUGAAGUCUCCCACCGCACCACCUUUGGGUUAACCUAGCCUGUCCCACAGAAGAUGAUGAAGUUGGGUCUGGAGGCAAGCUGACUCAGAUGGAUUCUCGAUUUUAUGAUGCUGGACUGGAGAUGGGUUUCACCAUGUUGCCCAAGCUAGUCUCGAACUCGUGGACUCAAGCAAUCCACCUGCCUCAGCCUCCCAAAGUGCCUUACAGGCGUGAGCCACCGCACCUGGCUGAACUGUCCCUUCACACUUACCUUCAGUCCUGGAGGGAGGACCUCUUGCUUGUGGAUCUGGAUGACAGUGAUACUCACAAGUACCACAAUACUCACAAGCAAGACCACCAAGGCAAUGAUGGUUGGAGUUCGGUAGAGGGCCUUGAGGCCUAAAAUGAGAAGACCCAGAAGACACUUGAGGGGGAGGUAAAAACCAGGCACUGGUAUUCUUUGUAGAAUUGAUGGACUGGCCCCAUAAUCAGGUGCAUAAACCACCUUCUCUGGUGUUAGCGAGACCCACACUUCUAAGAUGGAGUAGCAAAUAAGCUCCCCUUCUCCCCAG